RNAcentral lists this ribosomal RNA (492 nucleotides) under uncultured bacterium. RNAcentral describes it as "partial 16S ribosomal RNA". It matches the Rfam family "Bacterial small subunit ribosomal RNA", at positions 29 to 507 of the family's 1533-position model. The record is from RNAcentral.
AGUGAACGCUGGCGGUAGGCCUAACACAUGCAAGUCGAACGGCAGCACAGUAAGAGCUUGCUCUUACGGGUGGCGAGUGGCGGACGGGUGAGGAAUACAUCGGAAUCUACUUUUUCGUGGGGGAUAACGUAGGGAAACUUACGCUAAUACCGCAUACGACCUACGGGUGAAAGCAGGGGAUCUUCGGCCCUUGCGCGAUUGAAUGAGCCGAUGUAGGAUUAGCUAGUUGGCGGGGUAAAGGCCCACCAAGGCGACGAUCCGUAGCUGGUCUGAGAGGAUGAUCAGCCACACUGGAACUGAGACACGGUCCAGACUCCUACGGGAGGCAGCAGUGGGGAAUAUUGGACAAUGGGCGCAAGCCUGAUCCAGCCAUACCGCGUGGGUGAAGAAGGUCUUCGGGUUGUAAAGCACUUUUGUUGGGAAAGAAAAGCAGCAGGUUAAUACCCCGCUGUUCUGACGGUACCAAAAGAAUAAGCACCGGCUAACUUCGUG